This 73-nucleotide transfer RNA is filed under the name Rhododendron griersonianum. RNAcentral describes it as "tRNA-Gln". It matches the Rfam family "tRNA". From Rfam's summary of the family: Transfer RNA (tRNA) molecules are approximately 80 nucleotides in length. Their secondary structure includes four short double-helical elements and three loops (D, anti-codon, and T loops). Lineage: Eukaryota; Viridiplantae; Streptophyta; Magnoliopsida; Ericales; Ericaceae. The record is from RNAcentral.
AAGCCCGUGGCCUAAUGGAUAAGGCAUCUGAUUCUGAAUCAGGCGAUUGUGGGUUCGAGUCCCGCCGGGCGUG